CCAUCAAGCAGGCUCCGCACCAUGUCCAGGAAAGCUGGGUAAUAAUCUUCCACGUCAACGUCCACUGCAGGAAAGACGGGACAGAUGAAGUUUCACCAUGAUAUGAGCAAAGUACUCCACAGCAUACCCUUGGGAUAUCAGUAAGAAUUCUUUGAAAAGAGGUCAUCUUCCUUUGCUAUCAAAAACAAAUCUGUUUCUCCGCUGCAAAACUCUCAGAAUGCUAUGCUGAUGGUAAUGCAAAGUCUAAGAGUGGAGAAUGGGUACAAGAUCGCUGCUUUGGACAAUCUGUGAAGCUCUGAUCAGAACCACUGAUGCUUCAGGAGAGAAGAAAAACCAAAAGCAGCAGCACAAGUAAAUUCACCAGGUGAAUUGCUGCUGUGACAGGAAGAAGCAGCAGCGCUGAUCUGUGUUAGGGCAUGUGUGUGUGUGUGUGUGUGUGUGUGUGUGCGCGCGCGUGUGUGAGUGUUACUGUACAGCAAGAGUACCACAAAUGGAAGAUACCAGGGCCCAGCCUCAUCUCCCACACAUGAGAGAAUUCCAAACAGAAGGUCUAGAACCUCCAGCCUUUGUGAAGCACACUGAGUGCAGCAGGCACACUGCUUGCUGGGUACCUCUUGA
Long non-coding RNA from Fukomys damarensis (Damara mole-rat), 618 nucleotides. RefSeq lists it as uncharacterized. The record is from RefSeq and is a predicted model, not a curated record. NCBI's taxonomy places the organism in Eukaryota, Metazoa, Chordata, Mammalia, Rodentia, Bathyergidae. The transcript has 3 exons.